Molecule: long non-coding RNA, 1131 nt
Filed under: Sander lucioperca (pikeperch)
Lineage: Eukaryota; Metazoa; Chordata; Actinopteri; Perciformes; Percidae
Description: lncRNA (ENSSLUG00000015430.1)
Source: RNAcentral
AUGUUGCGACAACAGCCACCAUGUAAAGCAGCUGUAACUGGACGUAACAUACACAUGAACACAGGUAAAAAAAGGAUGUUGCGACAACAGCCACCAUGUAAAGCAGCUGUAACUGGACAUAACAUACACAUGAACACAGAUGCAGCUGCUGUAAUGAUGCUGUGGUUGUCAGAUGAAAUAGGACUAUGGCUGUUGGGCUGCGAGGACACGACCGAGACGUGAAAGUGGACUCUCAAAACGUCCAAUAGCAGUGUGUGUGUGUGUGUGUGUGUGUGUGUGUGUGUGUGUGUGUGUGUGUGUGUGUGUGUGUGUGUGUGUGUGCGUGUGUGUGCGUGUGUGUGUGCGCUUUAUGUGUGAAAUUUAAUUAUAUUUAAUGCUAUCAGUUUAAACACACUUUGAGGCUACUCUCUUACAAAACCGAUGUCGUUUUGAUGACUGUUACACUACACUUAAAUGCUGUUUUUAAUAUGGAAAUUGUUGGCAAAUAUUUGUGUGAAAAACAUAGGUCCAUGUUAGAGUCUGUUACUUCAUAAAUGUUUAUUAACUUGAAGAUCAGUUUAUAAUACUGACUGUGCAAUGAUGUCAGAGUAUAAAAUCGGUGCUGUAAAAGUAUUUUUGUAAAGAUUAUUUUGUGAAAGAUGACAUUUUGUAAACAUAUUUUACCCUGUACCUGGCCAGAAAUGCAUUUAAUUUCACCCCGUUUGAUAAUUGUUACACAACGUGCUGCUCCUUCCUCUCGGUGUCACGUUGACUUCGAUCCCUUCACUUGUGUCAAACGAAUGCGAGCAGCUGCACGAUGACUGUCAGCAUGUAGAAACAUUUUUAUACUCUUGUUCCUCUGCUGAGUACAUGUCAGGCUUUGCUUUGUGCCACAGAGCCUCGGUGUGUCAGAAUCUCAUGUUUAGUUUGGGUGUGAGAGAAACAUGGAGCAUGGCGGCAGAGGGGGUGAGUUGGAGACUAAAAAAAUGCUGUUGCAAAUAGGCUUUCUGGGUCGGAGUGGGGAACAGAAAUCACAUACUGCUGAGAAAAUCGGGACAGCUGGUUGUGCUGAAACAUCCAGCGUCUGUAAACAUGUCUGACUUAUUCAUGUGCAUGGAAAUGUUAAAAAGACGAUGGAAAUAAAGCGAUGGA